UCCGGUUUGUCACCGGCAGUCCCAUUAGAGUGCUCAACUGAAUGUAGCAACUAAUGGCAAGGGUUGCGCUCGUUGCGGGACUUAACCCGACAUCUCACGAUACGAGCUGACGACAGCCAUGCAGCACCUGUCUCUCGGCCCCCGAAGGGGAGACCCUAUCUCUAGGGCUGUCCGAGGAUGUCAAAUCCAGGUAAGGUUCUUCGCGUUGCAUCGAAUUAAACCACAUGCUCCACCGCUUGUGCGGGCCCCCGUCAAUUCCUUUGAGUUUUAACCUUGCGGCCGUACUUCCCAGGCGGGGUACUUAAUGCGUUAGCUGCGACACUGCAGGGGUCAAUUCCCGCAACAUCUAGUACCCAUCGUUUACAGCGUGGACUAC
Molecule: unclassified non-coding RNA, 376 nt
Filed under: uncultured Pseudomonadota bacterium
Lineage: Bacteria; Pseudomonadati; Pseudomonadota
Description: uncultured proteobacterium contains 16S-23S intergenic spacer region
Source: RNAcentral